UGAGCUUUGGCAAACAAAGCUUGCUCAAUUGGGGCUGAGGGUCUACGUCGAACGAGUUAAGUUAUCUUUUUCGAGAAUCUGCUCCUUACGGCUCAGUGUCGCGAUCUAGCACUGACAUAGCCGACCUGCCACAUUCCGUGGGCAGCAAUAAGGAGAUCUACGAUGGCCAAUGGCACCGUAAAAUGGUUCAAUUCUGCAAAAGGUUUUGGGUUUAUAGCCCCUGAAGGCGGCAGCAAGGAUGUGUUUGUGCACAUCUCAGCGGUCGAGCAAGCUGGUCUGACCGGCUUGAAUGACGAUCAAAAAGUUACCUUCGAUAUUGAGUCCGGCCGCGAUGGUCGCGAAAACGCAGCCAAUCUAGCAUUGGCUUGA
This 369-nucleotide unclassified non-coding RNA is filed under the name Boseongicola aestuarii. RNAcentral describes it as "cspA". Lineage: Bacteria; Pseudomonadati; Pseudomonadota; Alphaproteobacteria; Rhodobacterales; Paracoccaceae. The record is from RNAcentral.